GUAAUGAUGUUUUUGUUUAUUCACCAAGUGAUCCUGGUGGAUUAGGAAAUUCAAGGUCAUGGUUUACAUAUGAAGAACUACUCAAGGCAACAAAUGGAUUUUCAUCCCAAAAUCUUUUGGGGGAGGGUGGGUUUGGUUCUGUAUACAAAGGCUGCCUACCUGAUGGAAGGGAGGUGGCAGUAAAACAGCUUAAAGUUGGUGGAGGACAGGGUGAACGAGAAUUUAAGGCAGAGGUUGAGAUUAUUAGUCGAAUACACCAUCGCCAUUUGGUUUCACUUGUGGGUUACUGCAUCUCUGAGAACCGAAGAUUGCUUGUAUAUGACUACGUGCCUAACAAUACCCUUCAUUUCCAUCUUCAUGGGGAAGGUAGGCCAGUUCUGGAUUGGGCAACACGUGUUAAGAUUGCUGUUGGUGCAGCUCGUGGGAUAGCUUAUCUCCAUGAAGACUGUCAUCCUCGGGUAAUACACAGGGAUAUUAAGUCAUCGAACAUACUUUUGGAUAACAAUUUUGAAGCCAAGGUUUCAGACUUUGGGCUUGCAAAGUUAGCUCUUGAUGCAAAUACACAUGUGACCACACGUGUUAUGGGCACCUUCGGAUACAUGGCCCCUGAAUAUGCAUCAAGCGGCAAAUUAACUGAGAAAUCUGAUGUAUUCUCAUAUGGAGUUGUUCUUUUGGAGCUAAUCACUGGACGGAAGCCUGUGGAUGCAUCCCAACCCUUGGGAGAUGAGAGUCUUGUUGAAUGGGC
This 745-nucleotide unclassified non-coding RNA is filed under the name Hevea brasiliensis (rubber tree). The record is from RNAcentral. Lineage: Eukaryota; Viridiplantae; Streptophyta; Magnoliopsida; Malpighiales; Euphorbiaceae.